Long non-coding RNA from Sparus aurata (gilthead seabream), 1429 nucleotides. The record is from Ensembl. Lineage: Eukaryota; Metazoa; Chordata; Actinopteri; Spariformes; Sparidae.
GUGUAAACACAGAGGUGUCUGUGUAAAGUUGGUGUAAACACAGAGGUGUCGGUGUAAACACAGAGGUGUCGGUGUAAAGUUGGUGUAAACACAGAGGUGUCGGUGUAAACACAGAGGUGUCGGUGUAAAGUUGGUGUAAACACAGAGGUGUCGGUGUAAACACAGAGGUGUCGGUGUAAAUUUGGUGUAAACACAGAGGUGUCGGUGUAAAGUUGGUGUAAACACAGAGGUGUCGGUGUAAACACAGAGGUGUCGGUGUAAAUUUGGUGUAAACACAGAGGUGUCGGUGUAAAGUUGGUGUAAACACAGAGGUGUUGGUGUAAACACAGAGGUGUCGGUGUAAACACAGAGGUGUCGGUGUAAAGUUGGUGUAAACACAGAGGUGUCGGUGUAAAUUUGGUGUAAACACAGAGGUGUUGGUGUAAAUUUGGUGUAAACACAGAGGUGUCGGUGUAAAGUUGGUGUAAACACAGAGGUGUUGGUGUAAACACAGAGGUGUUGGUGUAAACACAGAGGUGUUGGUGUAAAUUUGGUGUAAACACAGAGGUGUUGGUGUAAACACAGAGGUGUCGGUGUAAACACAGAGGUGUUGAUGUAAAGUUGGUGUAAACACAGAGGUGUCGGUGUAAACACAGAGGUGUCGGUGUAAACACAGAGGUGUCGGUGUAAACACAGAGGUGUUGUCCGUCUCUGACCUUGAGGCUGAUUGGACGGUCAGCGCUGGUGUUUCCGCUGCAGGUCACUGCGUCCUGUUUCUCCCGAGAGACGGACGACUCGUAGCCUCCGUCCUCCAGCUGCACGAUCACUUCCUCCUCUUCCUCCUCUUCCUCGCCCUCGUCCUCCCAGCUGAUUGGCUCAGGUCUGACAGCAGUGGAGGAAACAGCAAGAGGAGAAAAUCAGACGGAAUAUUUAGUUAGAGAGACUCGACAGCUUUAUUCUGAAAGGCCACGAGGUACAUUUUAUUGUGAAAUGUAAUCAGAACCUGCACCUCUAACACAUCUGGACGUUUCACUCUUGACAGAACGAAUCAACAGAGAAUUGUUUGUGGUUCUUCAGAACAUGUUGACCUGCCGAGCACACAGAGCGACCCGACCUGAAGACCCAGCGGGCUCAACAGUUCUUGUUCGUCGGAGCCGGAGUGGCUUUAAAGGAGCUUGGACUGGUUUGAGCCUUCAUCCUCCUCAUCCUCACUGACUUCAUCUACAGCUAACGACUGGAUGAAGACGAGCUGGACGCUCAUCAUCAUCACUGACACGUCUCAGAACCAGAACACAGAACAGCUGCUCCAAGAACACAGCAGGUCCCAGCUGGAUCAAUACGUAUUGAUACAAUAUCAGUGAUCAUCUAAUUAUCAGCUCAUAUGAAUCAACUCAACAUAUCGCGUUUAGAAACAAUAAAAAAUCAUUCAAACUUUAAACUUCAAUUGUUU